This 513-nucleotide ribosomal RNA is filed under the name uncultured bacterium. RNAcentral's name for it is "partial 16S ribosomal RNA". It matches the Rfam family "Bacterial small subunit ribosomal RNA", at positions 28 to 523 of the family's 1533-position model. The record is from RNAcentral.
GACGAACGCUGGCGGCGUGCCUAAUACGUGCAAGUAGAACGCUGAAGAGAGGAGCUUGCUCUUCUUGGAUGAGUUGCGAAUGGGUGAGUAACGCGUAGGUAACCUGCCUUGUAGCGGGGGAUAACUAUUGGAAACGAUAGCUAAUACCGCAUAACAAUGGAUGACUCAUGUCAUUUAUUUGAAAGGGGCAAAUGCUCCACUACAAGAUGGACCUGCGUUGUAUUAGCUAGUAGGUGAGGUAACGGCUCACCUAGGCGACGAUACAUAGCCGACCUGAGAGGGUGAUCGGCCACACUGGGACUGAGACACGGCCCAGACUCCUACGGGAGGCAGCAGUAGGGAAUCUUCGGCAAUGGGGGCAACCCUGACCGAGCAACGCCGCGUGAGUGAAGAAGGUUUUCGGAUCGUAAAGCUCUGUUGUAAGUCAAGAACGAGUGUGAGAGUGGAAAGUUCACACUGUGACGGUAGCUUACCAGAAAGGGACGGCUAACUACGUGCCAGCCGCCGCGGUAA